GACGAACGCUGGCGGCGUGCUUAACACAUGCAAGUCGAACGGAAAGGCCCUGCUUUUGUGGGGUGCUCGAGUGGCGAACGGGUGAGUAACACGUGAGUAACCUGCCCUUGACUUUGGGAUAACUUCAGGGAACUGGGGCUAAUACCGGAUAGGAGCUCCUGCUGCAUGGUGGGGGUUGGAAAGUUUCGGCGGUUGGGGAUGGACUCGCGGCUUAUCAGCUUGUUGGUGGGGUAGUGGCUUACCAAGGCUUUGACGGGUAGCCGGCCUGGGAGGGUGACCGGCCACAUUGGGACUGUGAUCCGGCCCAGACUCCUACGGGGGGCAGCAGUGGGGAAUAUUGCACAAUGGGCGGAAGCCUGAUGCAGCAACGCCGCGUGCGGGAUGACGGCCUUCGGGUUGUAAACCGCUUUCGCCUGUGACGAAGCGUGAGUGACGGUAAUGGGUAAAGAAGCACCGGCUAACUACGUG
Molecule: ribosomal RNA, 468 nt
Filed under: uncultured bacterium
Lineage: Bacteria
Description: partial 16S ribosomal RNA
Rfam family: Bacterial small subunit ribosomal RNA
Source: RNAcentral